GUAGUCUCGCACAGAUGCAUAUCAAUAAGCGGAGGAAAAGAAACUAACAAGGAUUCCCCUAGUAACGGCGAGUGAAGCGGGAAGAGCUCAAAUUUGAAAUCUUAAAGGGUUUCCCUUUACGAAUUGUAGUUUAAAGAAGUGUUUUCUGUUGAGGUUUUGGUAAAAGUUCUUUGGAAUAGGACAUCAUAGAGGGUGAGAAUCCCGUAUUUGACCUUUACUUUCAACUUUGUGAUACACUUUCAAAGAGUCGGAUUGUUUGGGAAUGCAGUCCAAAAUGGGUGGUAAAUUUCAUCUAAAGCUAAAUAUUGGCGAGAGACCGAUAGCGAACAAGUACUGUGAGGGAAAGAUGAAAAGAACUUUGAAAAGAGAGUUAAACAGUACGUGAAAGUUGUCAAAAGGGAAGCGUUUGACACCAGUGUUGUUUUUCUGAAAAUCAAUUAAAGAACUGUUUAUGCUAAGUUGUUUAGACUUUAUCAGCUAACUGUUUAGUUUUGAGCUUUUCUUUAAUGCACUUUUCAGUUAACAAGUCAACAUCAAUUUCUUUUGCUGUAAAAAAGCUUGAGGAAGGUGGCUUGAGAUUCGUCUUAAGUGUUUAUAGCCUCUUGCCUAUGCAGUCGGAGAGAUUGAGGUCUGCAGCGUAGAUCCUUCGGGGCUAAAUGCAUUUGUGCUAAGUUAUAACAUUUUAUAGACAACUUGUUGACUAUGAUUUGUCUUGUAGCUUACUCGCUUAUGUUAUUUUACCUACGCUUAGGAUGUUGACAGCAGUAUAGACUG
Molecule: ribosomal RNA, 774 nt
Filed under: uncultured Neocallimastigales
Lineage: Eukaryota; Fungi; Neocallimastigomycota; Neocallimastigomycetes; Neocallimastigales
Description: partial large subunit ribosomal RNA
Rfam family: Eukaryotic large subunit ribosomal RNA
Source: RNAcentral